UUUUCUCUACAGGUUGACCGAAGCCAAAUCACCAAAACACGAACCUCACCGGAGAGUCGCCGUACCCGAGAGCGCCGCCGCCGGUAAGCUCCGCUUUUCCGUGAUUUUUUGGCCCCCCGAGGGCCCUAUGGUUGUUUUCUGACAAGGACCAAUGCGAGUGUGGCCGAAUUCGGCCGAAAACGGCCGAAAACAGUCAACCCGAGGCGACUCGCCGCCGCCAGCGGCGGCGCCAUCGCCGGAGCACGGCGGAGCCGCCGUGCCGGAGUUGCGAUUUGGGCCGAAAGAGGCCCUGGGCCUAAUUU
This 302-nucleotide long non-coding RNA is filed under the name Carica papaya (papaya). RNAcentral's name for it is "long non-coding RNA (CPAP_LNC002587)". The record is from RNAcentral. Lineage: Eukaryota; Viridiplantae; Streptophyta; Magnoliopsida; Brassicales; Caricaceae.